GAGUUUGAUCCUGGCUCAGGAUGAACGCUGGCGGCGUGCCUAAUACAUGCAAGUCGAGCGAACAGAUAAGGAGCUUGCUCCUUUGAAGUUAGCGGCGGACGGGUGAGUAACACGUGGGUAACCUACCUAUAAGACUGGGAUAACUUCGGGAAACCGGAGCUAAUACCGGAUAAUAUUUAGAACCGCAUGGUUCUAAAGUGAAAGAUGGUUUUGCUAUCACUUAUAGAUGGACCCGCGCCGUAUUAGCUAGUUGGUAAGGUAACGGCUUACCAAGGCGACGAUACGUAGCCGACCUGAGAGGGUGAUCGGCCACACUGGAACUGAGACACGGUCCAGACUCCUACGGGAGGCAGCAGUAGGGAAUCUUCCGCAAUGGGCGAAAGCCUGACGGAGCAACGCCGCGUGAGUGAUGAAGGGUUUCGGCUCGUAAAACUCUGUUAUUAGGGAAGAACAAAUGUGUAAGUAACUGUGCACAUCUUGACGGUACCUAAUCAGAAAGCCACGGCUAACUACGUGCCAGCAGCCGCGGUAA
RNAcentral lists this ribosomal RNA (532 nucleotides) under uncultured bacterium. RNAcentral describes it as "bacterial SSU rRNA". It matches the Rfam family "Bacterial small subunit ribosomal RNA", at positions 9 to 523 of the family's 1533-position model. The record is from RNAcentral.